GCAAUCGGGGGACUACACAUGCGAGUCGCACGGUAACAGGAGCAGCUUGCUGCUUUGCUGACGAGUGGCGGACGGGAGAGUAAUGUCUGGGAAACUGCCUGAUGGAGGGGGAUAACUACUGGAAACGGUAGCUAAUACCGCAUAACGUCGCAAGACCAAAGAGGGGGACCUUCGGGCCUCUUGCCAUCGGAUGUGCCCAGAUGGGAUUAGCUAGUAGGUGGGGUAACGGCUCACCUAGGCGACGAUCCCUAGCUGGUCUGAGAGGAUGACCAGCCACACUGGAACUGAGACACGGUCCAGACUCAUACGGGAGGCAGCAGUGGGGAAUAUUGCACAAUGGGCGCAAGCCUGAUGCAGCCAUGCCGCGUGUAUGAAGAAGGCAUUCGGGUUGUAAAGUACUUUCAGCGGGGAGGAAGGCGAUAAGGUUAAUAACCUUGUCGAUUGACGUUACCCGCAGAAGAAGCACCGGCUAACUCCGUGCCAGCAGCCGCGGUAAUACGGAGGGUGCAAGCGUUAAUCGGAAUUACUGGGCGUAAAGCGCACGCAGGCGGUCUGUCAAGUCGGAUGUGAAAUCCCCGGGCUCAACCUGGGAACUGCAUUCGAAACUGGCAGGCUAGAGUCUUGUAGAGGGGGGUAGAAUUCCAGGUGUAGCGGUGAAAUGCGUAGAGAUCUGGAGGAAUACCGGUGGCGAAGGCGGCCCCCUGGACAAAGA
RNAcentral lists this ribosomal RNA (712 nucleotides) under Enterobacter sp. MNJ-007. RNAcentral's name for it is "bacterial SSU rRNA". It matches the Rfam family "Bacterial small subunit ribosomal RNA", at positions 35 to 739 of the family's 1533-position model. The record is from RNAcentral. Lineage: Bacteria; Pseudomonadati; Pseudomonadota; Gammaproteobacteria; Enterobacterales; Enterobacteriaceae.